This 591-nucleotide ribosomal RNA is filed under the name Trichoderma sp. BLT1C. Its description in RNAcentral is "eukaryotic LSU rRNA". The stretch from base 250 to 403 matches the Rfam family "5.8S ribosomal RNA". Lineage: Eukaryota; Fungi; Ascomycota; Sordariomycetes; Hypocreales; Hypocreaceae. The record is from RNAcentral.
UAAAAGUCGUAACAAGGUCUCCGUUGGUGAACCAGCGGAGGGAUCAUUACCGAGUUUACAACUCCCAAACCCAAUGUGAACGUUACCAAACUGUUGCCUCGGCGGGAUCUCUGCCCCGGGUGCGUCGCAGCCCCGGACCAAGGCGCCCGCCGGAGGACCAACCAAAACUCUUUUUGUAUACCCCCUCGCGGGUUUUUUAUAAUCUGAGCCUUCUCGGCGCCUCUCGUAGGCGUUUCGAAAAUGAAUCAAAACUUUCAACAACGGAUCUCUUGGUUCUGGCAUCGAUGAAGAACGCAGCGAAAUGCGAUAAGUAAUGUGAAUUGCAGAAUUCAGUGAAUCAUCGAAUCUUUGAACGCACAUUGCGCCCGCCAGUAUUCUGGCGGGCAUGCCUGUCCGAGCGUCAUUUCAACCCUCGAACCCCUCCGGGGGGUCGGCGUUGGGGAUCGGCCCUCCCUUAGCGGGUGGCCGUCUCCGAAAUACAGUGGCGGUCUCGCCGCAGCCUCUCCUGCGCAGUAGUUUGCACACUCGCAUCGGGAGCGCGGCGCGUCCACAGCCGUUAAACACCCAACUUCUGAAAUGUGACCUCGGAUC